Molecule: unclassified non-coding RNA, 2082 nt
Filed under: Hevea brasiliensis (rubber tree)
Lineage: Eukaryota; Viridiplantae; Streptophyta; Magnoliopsida; Malpighiales; Euphorbiaceae
Source: RNAcentral
CAAAUAUCUAAUUUAUAAAACUCAAACUUCACAUGAAUAUUAUUUUUCAAAACUAAACUCAUUUCAAACACAAUUAUAUAUUAUCUAAACCCGUAUUAUUAAGAUUUGUUUAGUUGGGUACCCGAAAAUAACCACUCGUUGCCAUCUGGUUAGAUUUGGGAAGGGAGGGGGAAGGGAGUAGGGGGAUUCAAACAUAAAUACAUUAGCUUCACUAAAUAAGAAGAGAGCGAAAUUGUGAUUACUAACUAAAUUAUGCCUUGAAAAUAUAAACCCUCAUAACUCAAUUGAUGUAAGGCCCAACAAAAUAGCCAAAUCAAAAAUACAUACCCAUCGCCUAGUGGCACAGAACACUGUUGAUCAGCGGCAAAACAUGGUAAUUUCAUUCCACAUUUCAUCUACAAUUGGAUGGCAAUGCUUCAGCGUCCAAAAUGAAAACUUUCACAAGUUUGCAGCCUUUCAAGAGCCCAAUGGCAUAUUUUCUAAGGGAUUGAGAUUAAAUUCAGACAACUUAUGCUUUAUCAAUGUAAUAAUUGCUAUCGGAGACAAUACAGUAGUUGAUAUAUGCACAGCAUGACCCUUCGUCCUGUAACAAUCAAUACACAAAAUAAUGGCAUUCCCUAGUGUGUGUACUCAACGAUUUAUACAGGCAAAUACCUUUCAUGACUCUUCAGGCUUUGGUUCAAGUAUAACUGGAAUCUUCUCCUUGUGAUCACCUCGCAACACCUCCACAAUCACCUGAUCGCCUACUUUACAUUGGUCAAGAAUUCUGUACAAGUCACUGCCAUUUGUAACUUUUUUCCCAUUCACAGAUGUUAUGAUAUCACCCAAAAUAAGUCUACCAUAGGCAUCACGUUUGGUGGGUUGCAGACCUGCUUUGCCUGCUGGACCAUUUAAAGGAGCAUCUAAGACAAGCACCCCACUUACUCCUAACUGCUCCACAGAUUGAUCAGGUGCAAACUUAAUACCUAAAAUAGGUCUCGUAACUUUUCCAAACUUCACCAACUGUUCAACAAUGCCACUUACAGUAUCAACGGGGAUUGAAAAUCCAACGCCAGAGGAUGCACCAGAUGGAGAGUAUAUGGCUGUAUUUAUCCCAAUAAGGCUUCCUGAACUAUCAAGAAGUGGCCCUCCACUAUUACCAGGAUUAAUGGCAGCAUCUGUCUGUAUAACAUCCUGAAUGGGACGGCCAGUAGCAGCAGAACUGAUUUCUCUACGAAGCCCACUGAUGACACCAGUUGUUAAAGUGUGAUCAAGUCCAAAAGGGUUGCCGAUAGCAUAUACUUUCUGACCAACAAGCAAGUCAGCAGAAACACCAACAGGUAUUGGUCUUAGCUUGUCUUUGGGUGCAUCAACUCGCAACACAGCAACAUCCUUAUCUUGGUCAAAUCCAACAACUUUUGCAUCAAAAGUUGACUGGUCAGCAAGAGUGACCUUGAGAUCAGAAGCACCACGAAUCACAUGAUAAUUGGUAACUAUGUGACCUUCUUUGUCCCACACGAACCCAGACCCUGACCCCUGCGGCACCUCCAACACAUCCAAAGUAAAUGCAUCUUGCUUGACGGCGAGAUUGGUGAUGUAAACAACUGAAGGAGUGUUCUCUUGAAAGAGGCGAACAGUAGCAAGCUCAUCGGUCUGCAAUUUACGAGCAGUAGUAACGACGAAUGCGAAGGACGGGUCCACAUCGGCGACGAAUAGAGAGACGGAUAAGGCAAGUGAUGUGCAGAGAAGAAGCAGCAAGUCUAAAGCUGAAGAGGAUGAGGAAGAAGAGGGGCUUUCAGUGAAUAAGAGAUUGUGUGGGUUUAAAGAGAAAGAAUCGUGGAAUUGAUUCAACAAACGGAGGAUGCCAGAAUUGAUAUUGUUAUUGUUAUGGUUUUGGUUUCUGUGGAGGAGAGAAAGGCAUUUAAGUUUUGAGAGAGGAAACGGUGGUUUUCUGCUUGGAGAGCGAGAAAAUGGAGAGUAAUGGUGGACGAAUGUGGAAAUGAGUGAAGAAGCAGCAGCAGCCAUUUCUUGCUCAGUGGCUUUUCUUGGUUCUUUCAGAGAAAAGAGGAGUCUCCAGACUUUCCGGCUCUAACCAUAUGUAAU